GAAAAGUGAGGCUCGAUCCUCCCAGACCAACACCGGAACUGCUGGAUUACCUUCUUAGUACUUUAUUCGGCCCUGUGUGACAUGUAGAAGUCUUUUAGUCUCCCAUUUGCUCCAUUGGACCUAAAACAUACCAGGAUCUAAGAAAAUAUUUCCCAAAGCGUGUGAGAAAUCACAACACUCAUUAAACAAAAGGCUUUAGUUUUUGUCUUUCUGUUCAAGACCUAGCCUGUAGAAUCAAUAAAAAUUCGUCCUAGGUAUUAUAUGUGAAGCAGAGCAAAGGAAAGAAUCAAAAGGAAAUAGAUUAAGGGAGAGCUGACUUCGGACGUCAUCUAAUUUCUUUAUUUGCAGCUGGGAAAAGUGAGACCAAGAGAGUGAGUGACUUGCCUAACAUCACACAACCAAUUAGCAACAAAACCAGAACGACUCUUGACUCUGACUCGGGGAUUCCUUUUUGGAGACGUGAAAGGUGCUCCCAGACCUGUCAGAUCCCUGAGCCUGGCUGCCCGUCAUCAUCCUUCCUGACUCCUGGGGCCCUGCUCUUUCCCAGAGGCGGUGCUGCAGGAUUCCUGUGCCUAACCCUAUACAGAGUCCCUUGGACUGGGAGGCUGCAGCACCCAGUGAGACAACAGGUCCUGUCUGCAAGGGCCCACAGUCUAGGAGCGGAGUGACCGAGCCUGGCUGCCCCCCUUACAGAGAAGGCAAAGGUCCCAGAAAAUGACAGACAUGUGGGAUCUUAACUUCCCCUACCAGGGAUGACUAGGGAGCGAACCCACCCACCCUGCAUUGGAAGCACAGAGUCAACCAUGGGGCCACCAGGAAAAUCCCCUCUGGUUCAGAAUCUUGACCGUUUCUUUCUAGCUGUGUGGCCCUGACACCCUUUCUGAGUCUCCAUCCUCAUCUGUCAAACGGGACAGUCUUGAGUGUGGUUGUAAGGAACACCCGGCUCAUAGGAAGAGCCCCAGAGAUGGGGCUGUUAGCAGCAGUUAGCCCAAACUCAGUCCGUCAGCCCAGACAGGGCCCUAGUGAUCACCUGUCUAGACCCUUGCUUUUUGCACAAACACCUGAAAGUCCAGAGGGGAGAAAUUUUCCCAGGCCAUGCAGCCAGCCAGAACCUUAAUCUCCCUCCACCCAGGCAGCUUUGCAUCAGAGCGCCCUUCCUUAUCUCCUCUCGUCCAGCAAAACUCCAAAAAUGAUCACUGGGACUUCUAAAGAAGUAAGUGAGGAUUUUAACACAUCUUUCUAAUGUCUUAAUUGAGAUUCUGGGUUGACCUUUGGGGCAGAGGGUAUACUCUGCUCAUUUGGCCCCUUGACCCUAAUACGCUGUUUGUCUCCUGUUGCUUCUGGCAUUCUUAGUACUCUGAUGCCAACUGUGUGGGCCCCUGAGUAUGUAAGAUGGAUGCCACUGGGGCCUGGGCCUGGGGUUAGGAAAGGCAGAGAGGUCAGGGAAGAGGCAUGGCUGGUUUUCCAUAUAAGCCUCUUUUGUACUCUGAAGCCA
Molecule: long non-coding RNA, 1495 nt
Organism: Capra hircus (goat)
Lineage: Eukaryota; Metazoa; Chordata; Mammalia; Artiodactyla; Bovidae
Exons: 4
Source: RefSeq, a predicted model, not a curated record